AGCUUCCUCCAUGAUGCGGGGCUGCGGGAUGGUGCGCCCUUGCCAGGGCCUGGCCUCCAGGGCGAAGAGGAGCGGGGUGAGGGGGACCAGCAGGAGCCCCACCUGCUGGGGAACAUCAACGCCAAGAUGAAGGCUUUCAAGAAAGAGCUGCAGGCCUUCCUGGAGCAGGUGAACCGCAUUGGGGAUGGCCUAUCCCCCUUGCCCCACCUCACAGAGUCCUCUAGCUUCCUCUCCACUGUGACUUCCGUGUCCCGGGACUCCCCCAUCGGGAACCUGGGGAAGGAGCUGGGCCCAGACUUGCAGAUGUUUCCACCCGCCCCUUUGCUCAUUCUCAUCUCGGGUCUGUUUUCUUCACUUUCUUACACCACUGUCUUUAAGCCUAUGUUUCUAUUCAUGCUGUUCUUUGGUCGUUUUCUCAGUCGUCUCCCUUGUCCAUUUUUGUUUUCUUUAUCCCCCCUCCCUGCCUCCACCCUU
Molecule: small RNA, 474 nt
Filed under: Pongo abelii (Sumatran orangutan)
Lineage: Eukaryota; Metazoa; Chordata; Mammalia; Primates; Hominidae
Description: processed transcript
Source: RNAcentral